AUUGGAAACCACGCGUAGAGUGUAAAGGCAUAAGGGAGCUUGACUGCAAGACAGACAUGUCGAGCAGGUGCGAAAGCAGGGCUUAGUGAUCUUGCGAUUCCGUGUGGAAGGGUCGUAACUCAACGGAUAAAAGGUACUCCGGGGAUAACAGGCUUAUCGCGCCCAAGCGCUCACAGCGACGGCGCGGUUUGGCACCUCGAUGUCGGCUCAUCACAUCCUGGGGCUGCAGCUGGUCCCAAGGGUUGGGCUGUUCGCCCAUUAAAGUGGUACGUGAGCUGGGUUUAGAACGUCGUAAGACAGUUCGGUCCCUAUCUUUUACGGGCGUAGGAAAUUUGAGUGGAGCUGCCGCUAGUAUGAGAAGACCGUGGUGGACGAACCUCUGGUGCACCAGUUGUCACGCCUGUGGCAUCGCUGGGUAGCUAUGUUCGGAAAGGAUAAAUGCUGAAAGCAUCUAAGCAUGAAGCCUUCCUCAAGAUAAGAUUUCCCACAGAGUUAAUCUGGUAAGACCCCUUGUAGAUAACGAGGUUGAUAGGCCAAAUGUGUAAGCGCGGUGACGUGUUUAGCUAACUGGUACUAAUUGGUCGAGGGCUUAACUUAUUU
This 600-nucleotide ribosomal RNA is filed under the name Candidatus Poribacteria bacterium. Its description in RNAcentral is "partial 23S ribosomal RNA". It matches the Rfam family "Bacterial large subunit ribosomal RNA", at positions 2330 to 2925 of the family's 2925-position model. The record is from RNAcentral. Lineage: Bacteria; Candidatus Poribacteria.